GAGGUUCCCAGGCUAGGGGUCUAAUCGGAGCUAUAGCUGCCAGGCUAUGCCAGAGCCACAGCAACGCAGGAUCUGAACCACAUCUGCAACCUACACCACAGCUCACAGCAACGCUGGAUUGUUAACCCACUGAGCAAGGCCAGGGAUCGAACCCACAACCUCAUGGUUCCUAGUUGGAUUUGUUAACCACUGCACCAUGACGGGAACUCUAAGAUUUUUCUCUUUGUUUUUAAUUUGGUCAGUUUGAUUAAUAUGUGUCUCGGUGUAUUCCUCCUUGGGUUUAUUUUAUAUGGUACUCCUUAUGCUUCCUGGAUUUGAAUGAGUGGUUCUUUUCCCACGUUGGGGAAGUUUUAGGCCAUUAUCUCUUGGAAUAUUUUUUCUGACCCUUCUCUCUCUCUUCUCCUUCUGGCACCCCUAUAAUACGGAUGUUGGUGCAUUUAACAUUGUCUCAGAGUUCUCUGAGACUCUCUUCAUUUGUUUUCAAUCUUUUUUCUCUUUUCUGUUCUGCGUUUGUAAUUUCUACUAAUCUGUCCACCAUCUUGCUUAUUCAUUCUUUUGCAGCCUGUAUUCUGCUGUUAGCUGCUUCUAGUGAAUAUUUUACUUCAGUUAUUAUAUUUUGCAUCUCUUCUUAAGUUUUAUAUCUUGUAUCUCUUUUCUCAGUGUUUCCUGUAAGUUAUCCAUCUUUGCCUCCAGUUUAUUCCCAAUGUCUUGCAUCAUCUUCAGCAUCAACAGUCUAAAGUCUUUUUCAUGGAGGCUGAGAACUUCUUCAUCACUUAGCUGAUUUUCUGGGGUUUUUCCUUUCUCCCUCAUCACUUAGCUGAUUUUCUGGGGUUUUUCCUUUCUCCCUCAUCUGAGUUAUAGUUCUCUGUCUUUUCACUUUUAUAGGUUUUUGGUGUGGUGACCUUUUUAUAGAUAAUAGAGCUGUAGCCUCUCUUACUUCUGGUGUCUGCCCCCCUUGUGGCUGAAGUCGGUAUGGGGGGCCUGCUGUAGGCUUCCUGAUGGGAGGGGCUGAGGCCCACCCACUGGUAGGUGAAGCUGAUUCCUAUCCCUCUGGUGGGUGGGGCUUAGUCUCUGGAUGGGAUUAGAGGCGGCUAUGUGCCUUCCGGGUCUUUAGGCAGCCUGUUUACUGAGGGGCCAGGCUGUGAUCCCACCUGGAUUGUUGUUUGCCCUGGGGCUUCAAAUCUGGGUGGGGCCAGAUUUUCCCAAAAUGGCCACCUCCAGAGAAAGGCACAUUGAUGAAUAUUCCCGAGAGCUUUGCUUCCAAUGUCCUUCCGUCACAACAAGCCACAUUCACCCCUGUUUUCCCAGGAUGUCCUCUAAGAAUUGCAGUCAGCUUUGACCCAGAUUCCUGUGGAGACCUCACUCUGCCCUGGGACCCAGUGCAUGUGAAAGUCUGUGUGCGCCUUUUAAGAAAGGGGUCUCCAUUUCCCCCAGUCCCGUGGAGCUUCUGCAUGCAAGCCCCACUGGCCUUCAAUGCCAGAUGCUCCAGGAGCUCUUUCUCCCAGUGCCAGAUCCCCGCACAUGGGAGUUAGAUGUGGGGCUCAGAACUCUCACUCCUGUAGGUGAGUCUCUGUGAACCAGUUAGUUUCCAGUCUGUGGGGCUUCCCACCCAGGAGGUAUGGGGUUGUUUAUAUCACGUAAUCGCCCCUCCUACCUCUUGAUGUGGCCUCCUCUUUUUCUUCUGGAGUAGGAUAUCUUUUUUAAGGUUUCUGGUCCAUUUGGUUGAAGAUUGCUCAGCCUUUAGUUGUGAAUUUUGUUGUUUUUAGGAGAGAAGUUGAGCUCCAGUCCUUCUAUUCCACCAUCUUAAUUCCAUCAGUUUUUGCCCCUUCUGAUGAUAUGACCCCACUCAACCAGAGAUGGCAAAAGAACAGAAACCCAGGGCGGGGGUGUUUCACCCUGGAGCCAUGCCCCUAAACCCAGUGAUCUCUGCCUUUAGUCAGGAAGCCCAACAUUGCCUGACUUUGAAACCCCAGUAGCUUCUACCAUCCCACACCGUGCCUGGGUCAAAUUCACCCUUCACAAGGGCAAAGGGGAAAUUACUAAGGAACUGAAAAUCGUCUGUCUUCAAAGGCAAUAUAAUAGAGCUGUCAGCUGGGAGACACAAGGCCUUAUUCCCAGCUCCUACUCCCCUUUCCUGCUUCUUUCCCUGCAGAGAAGGAUCCCAGAAAACUAACCCCUUGGAGUUCAUGCUUAGGUUGGUAGCACAGACAAGACCCUCUGCUGCAGUGUGUGGUCCCCAGCAACCAUGUGGGAGAAGCCGUGUUCCUAAGAUGGGAAGAAAGAAAGCUGAGCUGGGUGCUGAGGCAGUGUGCCCCUGGCCUGGAGUCUCAGCUCUGAUGCUAUCACUGUGGCAACUCCUGUAGGCUGGAUGGAGGAACGGUGAGAACAGGCAGGAGGUGGGAAAACAGCAUCAGAGGGUUCCUGCCUGCUGCCAUGCCCUGCCGCCCCCAUCUGCCCCCCGUCCGGCACAGGGGUUGAUGCUUGGUAAGUGCAUAGAUGAUACUAGCAACAGCAUCAUCAUCAUGCUACUCACAACAAGUAAAUGUACUGAGUACUUAAUUCAGUGCUAAACACGGCAAAAACUCCUAUCAGAAACAGAUAUGUAUAGACCCCAACUCCCAAAGACAGUGGAGCUCCUCUCUUCAUGUGUAAUUCCAAAAAGAAAAUACUAUUAUAUAAAACAAGUAUAAGGGCAGCCAAGAGGAUUCUAGUUCCCCCCCAUUAUGGGUGACGGCUGCAUCACUGCAAAAUUGCCUCUGCCUGGGAGAGAGUUGAGAUUAUGAUCAGGGCUGUGGGAGGUUGUGUUCUGGUUAUGGGGUGUGUGUGUGGAGGGAGGUGCCACUCUGGCUUUUGGACACUGAAGUGCACUUGACAGAUUCCACUGCCCUUCUCUCCCUGUCCUUCCCUCCAUGCCCCCCCCCCUUUAUCCACCCUCCUUCCUGCCACCUUCUGAUACCCCUCAAGGAGGGCUAGUGAUCCUGAUUUUAAGUCAGAUACCUCUGAGUCCCCUUUUGCACCCCUUCCAACUUUAGAAUUUUGUGUUUGGCCUUUGUUAGAUUUGAAUUCUUUGGGUGGCAAAUAAAAAGGAAAUUGUUGAUGACUAUACUUGGCUACGGCCUUAAUGUCUCCCGUAGAAGGAGGAAUUACUGUAAAUCUAUGCUUCAGAAUUCUAAGUUGGUUCUUCCAGGCUCCACAGCAUCAUAUCUGUUCAGGAACAGCUGUUCAGGCCAUAGUAAUGAUCAAAGCUGUGCAUUCCAGAGCUUAGUGCUCUAAUAAUGGCAAACACCUCUUCUCUUUUCUCUCUCUCUCUGUGAAGAACAUAAAUUCUCUGUAGACAUCUAUUUUAGUGAUUCUGACAUCUCAGUCCAGAAGCAAAUAUGCCAGGGCUGUUUUAAAAUUCGACAGGACACACCAGUAAGAAAACCUCUCCCUUUGGAUUUCAGGACUAUUUUUGUUCUGGUUACAGAGAUGGUGCAGAGUCUCAAAGGAUGAGAUUUGUGAGGAGGCCUGAUUUCUAUAUAGAAUGUGUUAUUCAAUUUCAGUUCUAUUGAAAGAAGGAAAAUCCUUUCUCUUUGGUGGGAUUUUCCUUGAAUCUAAAGAAAACUGAUGUAAAGAUGUAUACAUGUGUAUUUUAUCUCUAUCUAUCCAUCUGCCUACAUACCUAUCCGUCCAUCCGUCCAUCCAUCCAUCCAUCUGGCUAACUAGAUAUCCUUCCUUGGCACCCAUGUGAUUAUCGUUGGUUGGGCCUCUUCUUAGUCACUUAAUGAUUUAGGGGACAACAUAACAACCACAAAGAAUAGCUAUCACCUUAUUAAAGACAUCCUUGCCAAACAAAAUAAAGGAAAAUGAUUUUUGGAUGGGUCUGUAAAGUGGUAUGUAUGCUUUCAGUAUAACCUCUUGGUGAUUUCUUAGUCAAUGGGAGGGUCGGGAUGGGGGAUUGUAAUGAAAUUUCUCUUUUUUGUUGGAAAUUUACAAGGGGUAAAGUGAAACAGGACCUGGAGUCUGUGCACCUGUGUUUGAACCCUGACUUUGCAAACUGGUUAAGCUUUCUGAAUCUUCAGCACCUUUAAAGUGAGUGUGCACGUAGUAUCUGUGUCAUGGGGCUGUAGGAGGAGGCAGAGAAGCAUGAUGCCUACACACGUACCUCCUGUUGGGAGUGGAUACCUGUCAAAGUAAGUGCCUGACACGCUGCAGGUGAUCAGCAAUUCCAUCCUCUUCCAGAACCAAACCAUGGUCACUGAAGAGUCAGGAGAGCUGAGUCAAGAGGCCAUUCCACUGCUCCCCAAGGUCCGUUCCUGUGGCCUUUGCCACAGCAACACCAGAGCUGGGUAUACACUGGAUUUUGACACUGCUGUUCAUUUUUAACUUCCUUGAGACAAACUGUACUUUUCCAACUCUGGUCACCACAAUGAAUCACAAUAUGAUACUUUUUUCCAGCCAGCCAACAAUGACACUCAAUUUAACCAGAGGAAGAUCUGAAAUCAGAAUACACAGUGCUGAAACCAUGCCAGAGUACCCAUGGAUAUUGCAGAGAUGACAACCAAAUGUCACCCACAUCUCCAGUAUCCCUAGGGCUUUCUCAGGGGCCCGUCACUGAACUCUGAACAUAAGUUUCGGCUACUGCCAGCCAAAGCUUCUGUGACCUAGUACUCCUGGGAGAUCCUGUGCAGUGGUGGUUCAGCCCAUACUCUCAGAAGCCCCGACAGCUGGGAGAGGCCUCACCCAUGCAUAUGGAAUCGGCAAAUCGGAGCCGCAGCUGCAGGUUUACACCACAGCCAUCCCAACACCGGACCCAAACUGCAGCUUUGCGAUGACUGAACACCCACAUACCAGGCUCAGGCCUCACAGGCAUCAUGAAGGCUACAAAUAAGACCUCUGCUAUGCAGCAUGUGAACUGACAACGCAGGCCAAAACCAACAAGCCACUGACACAUAAGGGUUUACAGAAGCAAUGCACACUUGCCAUGAAAAAUGUUGCAGGAAGUUUGGGCCCUCUUGGUGUCUCCAGCAAAACAAGAGAAGAAAACUCCCCUGCAACAUGAUGGCAAUACGAAAAAGGAGUUCGUACAUAUUGUUUUCAGUGACACAAGAAUCUACAAAACACCUAUAUUAUAGGUCAUUCUUUCCGUUAGACUAUUGUUAGCUUACAGACUGCACAAAAGGACAUGCCAGCAUGAAGAGGUUGAGGAAGGGGGCAGAAUGAACAGAAGAGUGCACUUAUUCGGAGGCCUGAAAAUGAGCACUGCAGUUAUCCUCUAGUUCCAGCGGAAGGAGAUAUGUCGGGGACGGUCACCGCCUUCCUUCACCAGGGGCUUGUGGAAUUCCCUGCCAGCGCGAGAAUGAAUAGCAGCCCAGCAAUAUUCACAGUAAUACUGCAGACAGGUAACAUUAGCACAGAAAAAUGGAGCGAAUUUCCCCCCACAACGGGCCCCCUGACAUUCAUCACACAGCUGAUCAUCCAAGACAUAUGGCUUAACUUCCACCUGCAAUCAAAGAGCAAAGAAAGGAGUUGGCAUUGCUCAGUGAACGGACCUGGCAACUCUGACCGCGGGUGGACGCUUGCAGCCACUGUCUAAAGGAGUCUGUGCCAAGUGCCCAAAAGGAAGGGCCGGUAACGCUGUCACUGAAAUUCAGACAGUUCAUCUUUUAAGCACCUGGGAAGGCUUUUAUACCCAUCCUUUUACAUUUUUGUCUUAUUAAAUAAAUACUUUUCAAAUGAAAGAAAGGUUCCAGCAGAAAUUGAAAAGUGAAGCCAAGUUCAUGUUUGGGAACAUCAGAAGGAGGUUUGACCCACAGGAGAGUUUUCAUGGACACGAACCGCCACUUUAAUCAGUGGAUCCGGGUCGCUGUCAGAUGCAGAAUUAUAAUCUGCACCAGACCAACUAAGAGAGUCCUAGUGCCACAACAGAGCACCUCAAUGUACAAGUCAGAGCGAAGCUGCUUGCAUCACACGCUCUUGAGCUGUAAUAAGGCCCGAGUCAUGGUUUCUAUUCACGGCGAACACAUCUUGGGUUACAGUCAUGAACUUCUAACUCCAGCAAAACAAGAUACAGCCCCAGGACUCAUAAUCCAAAACCUCGCUUUAUUCUUUGUCAGGAAGAAUGGUCUACCUCAGUUGGAGAGUCUCAUAAAAUGAGGUCUGCUCCAGCGUCCGACAGGCCAAGCUGCCAUUUGAGCCUCUCAAGCAUUAAAAAUAAGCUGGCUCUUAAUUCCCCAGUGAGAAGAGGGUCGGGUAUUUUUAGUCUUGGAGCAACUCACAAUUGAAACUCCCUUAAACCAGGCUAUUACUACCACUGGCGCCACCCACCUCUGACAAGAAAUCCUGACAAAGGUUAGCCGUGAGCAAAAGAAAAGUGACAGGGAAGGCAGGAUGAGCAGAAUAAACCAGAGGAUUGAGCUCCUGGCCCUGAGGCCAUUCCAGAACACUCACAGUGACAGGGACACAGGUCAAAGAACUGGAUCACAGAGGAAUACAAAUGAAGUCUGAAUUUCUAAGGGCGAAUCUUACGACUCUGAAACCCAUGUAGCAAUGAAGCAGCGAGGUAGGAGAGACUGUGCACUCAGGAUGUGUGUAUUUUUCAGUGUGAAUAAAAAGGAGCUCCUCCUGCCCCCUUCAUCCGAGCUUACAACAGAAUCCACACCCUUCUCCUUACUAUACCCCCGUAGAGCAUGAUGACCACCAGAAUGGUAAAAUUUCAGCUGCCACCCGAAGUAGAAUAAACAUGAAACGGAAUAGAAGCAGUAAAUGAAGACCACUAUUGACUUGAUAGUUUCUACGUACUGAACCGAGAAAGGCACAAUACAGUCAAACCAAUAAAGACUUUUUUGAGCACAAUGCCUUGGAGUGUUGGAUGUCUACGUUGGCCCUAAGGAAAGCGCUAGUCUGCCAUGAAAUAAGGAGCGGACACCAGAAUGUAAAUCAGUAUAUUGCUUACUUCAUCAAGAAGGUCUUUCUAUGAAAAAAAAUCUCAACGGAACUAAAAUACGAUGCUUACUAAUGUGGUGGAUUCACAUUCUGGUGUAAAUCUGGAUCUCACUGCAAACGAGCAACAAACCGUAUCAACUGGCGGUUGGUUCACAGGCCACCCUUGGAGUAGUACUGCCAGGACAGAUUUCUACCCACCAGAACAUAAAGAGGUCCCCUGAGGACAGGGACCUCUUGUCCUAGGCACUAAAACAUUUGCUGAGUGCAUGAAACACAAAGAUAAGAAAUCUGUGGCAGCAAUAUGGAUGCAACUAGAGAGUCUCACACUAAGUGAAGUCAGUCAGAAAGAGAAAGACAAAUACCACAUGACAUCACUUAUGUGUGGAAUCUGAAAUGUGGCGCACACAAACCUGUCUACGGAACAGAAACAGACUCACAGCACAGACAUGGAGAAUAGGCUUGUGGUCGCCAAGGGGGAGGGAGAGGGAGUUGACAGACAGUGAGUUUGGGGUUAGUGCUGCAAACUUUUAUUUUGAAUGGAUAAGCAAGGAGGUCCUACCGUACAGCACAGGGAACUAGAGCCAAUCUCUUGGAUAGAAGAGGACGGAAGAGAACACGAGAAGAAUGUGUGUAUGUAUGACUGGCUCACUUCGCUGCAUAGCAGAAACUCAUACAACACUGUAAAUCUACUCUACUUUAAUAAAAAGAUUAAAAAAAGAAAAACCAAAAAACUCAUCUGUAAAUGUAAAGAAAGAAGACAAAUAAUGGAACACAGAGUCUCAAAUAUAAUAGCCUGGAAAACAGAAGAAAGAGUUAUCUUUGAGGUUUUAUCCAGCCUUUUGAUUCAGAGCCAACAAAGAGGAAUUUAAAGUAAUGAACCACUCCCUGAUUUCAGGUGGGAAGACAGAUUGCAAAUGAAAAGAUUAUGAUUUCUUUUACUUAAUCUGUUACAAUGAAAUAUUUCUUACACAUGCAGCCCUUGAGGUGAAUUUCUUCAGUCAUUUGUUAUACAGCGCAUAGGAAAACAGGGCUCGCUGAGAUAUUCUCGAUACCCCAGGUUUAAAAAAGAAGGCGAGGAGCUCUCAAGGGCAUUCACAUUUGUAUACUUAUAACACAGUACAAAGGAUUUGGUAAAUACUUAUUGAAUGACCAACUGAACAAACGAA
Sus scrofa (pig) is the source of this 8090-nucleotide non-coding RNA. NCBI's taxonomy places the organism in Eukaryota, Metazoa, Chordata, Mammalia, Artiodactyla, Suidae. The record is from RefSeq and is a predicted model, not a curated record.